UCUGUUUUUUUUUUUUUUUUUUUUUUUUUUUUUUUUUUUUGCAGUUGGCAAUAGAGAAAGCUUGGUGAUAGCGACCUUCAAGAUUGGCGUAGUCUUAUCAACCAAGUUCAUGGUGGAUUUUGCCCCAAACGAGAUGUUUUGAGUAUUUGCAAAGUUCGGAGUAUUAUGUACAAGAUUGGCGAAUUAACCAACUUCAUGGAAGAUUUUGCCCCAAACGAGAUGCUUUGAGUAUUUGCAAAGUUCGGAGUCUAUUGUCAUUAUUUCUUUCAGUCUUGACAUCUCCAUCAGCCCGACUAAAGACUAUCCUCAGAGAGUUCAUCCAAAAAAAAAAUUGGCAGCAGCCCAUCUAAGAUCUUAUUUGAGUGAUGUUUACUUUGCACUUCAGGUGGCUCAAUUGGCUUUUAAUCAGAUUUCGGGUGCGCUCGGAUCUGGGCCAUUAUGAGUCCAACCUUUGAAGAUUGCUGGUUACAUUUUCUCUUUGCGCGCAUUCGAGCAGGCUAGAUGACUCAAUGGUGUUCUAUUAUGUUUGGCGAACAUGUGUUUCAACUUCACGAGCGGAUUCAACUUUAGCUUGGAGAGAAGUGAAGUUGUCGAUGCAUAGCCGACCUCAAUGCCAGAUGACUCAAUUCUUUGACAGGUCUUGGGUGCGCUCAGGCCUGGGAUUGUUUGAAUCUGGUUUGAGUGAGGUUGUUGUUAUGUUUGGCAUCUCACGAAGUUGGGAGAAUUCUGCACAACGGCUCGAGAAGAUUGAGUAUUUUCUUCUUGAUGCUUAAGCCAAGGAGAAUGAAGCCAUCGUCCGAAUUGCUUUGAUCAAGGAAGAGCUUGCUAUGAUAGAGAGGUGGAAGACAGAGAUGACGUUGUCCUUCAAGCAAGAUAGUGCCUCCUUUCAUAUUGUCCGAGGUGCAAUCCCAGAAUUCAAAAGAGAUUUUGACAAACAUAAAGUUGCACAUGUUGAUGAGGAAAUGCUGCGGAAUUUUGAAGACUUCAGAGUCACUUUUGAUCUCUGCUCAGAGAACUUUGGAGGAUCAAGACCCAUUUGCUUAGUAUUGGUGCAAACCGCAGUUUCUAUCAUUUCUCUCUUGAUGAUUCUUAUUUGGUUUGUGAUGGAUAUUUUGACAUCUUCUCCAAAUGCUUGUGCUUCUUUUGAUGGCUUGAUUUUCUUCCCAAUUUGAGACAUAUUCGGCUUCACAUAAUCAACUUAAAUCAUAACUUUGAUGAUAUAAAUUGAAAAGAGUCAAACACAAUUCAUGACUGAACCUAGAAAUUAUCUAAGCUGCCUACGUACCCUUUUGAAAGGGAUCAAGUCAAAACGUAGUUCAUAGGAUCAACAGGUGUUUGAGAUUGGGUGCCGUGCACAGUUUAUACUCAUGCGGGCCAGGAGUAACAUGCAGUUUAGGCUCGUGCGUCAAGGAGCUGUCUUCAUACACUCCAUUUUGUUUGCUUUUCUCCAUUUCUGGUUUUUCAUCUGACUCAUCUUUUUGGCUUUUCUGUUUUUCUAUUUUUUUUUUUUUGUUUUCUAUAUAUAUAUAUAUAUAUAUAUAUAUAUAUAUAUAUUAUAUAUAUAGUGUGUAGUUUAUUCCACAAACUCCUCUUAGUAUAUAAAUUAAGAACUAAUCUUAACCUUAGAUGUUCCUAUUCUAACGGUUGAGAUCAUGUUGACAAGAUUUCCAUUCGUUCAUUUUAAGUAGCUAAGUAAUGCAUGCGUUAUUGAAAUUGAGGGUACAAUUGGAAUGAGGUGUUGACUUUUUAAAUACGCAAAAUUGGAAUAAAAUUCGAAUCCCCCAAAAAACUCAUUCUUGAUUGGGAAUAAAGAUUUGAUGGCAUUUGGAUAUCACAAAUUAGUUGCGUGAAUUACAAAUACNAAUUUAUUUUGAUAGUUUAAACUCUUAUCGCGGAGUUCUUGAAUUUUGAAUUUUGUAAAUAGUUUAUACUCGUAUUUAGGAGUUCUUGAAUUUCUUUGGAUUUAUAAAAUAGUUUAUACUCGUAUUUAGGAGUUCUUGAAUUUCUUUGAAUUUAUAAAUAGUUUAUACUCGUAUUUAGGAGUUCUUCAUUUGAUUUUGGAAUUUUAAAUAGUUUAUACUCGUAUUUAGGAGUUCUUGAAUUUCUUUGAAUUUAUAAAUAGUUUAUACUCGUAUUUAGGAGUUCUUGAAUUUUUUGGAAUUUGUAAAUAGUUUAUACUCGUAUUUAGGAGUUCUUGAAUUUCUUUGAAUUUUGUAAAUAGUUUAUACUCGUAUUUAGGAGUUCUUGAUUUGAAUUUUGAAUUUGCUCUUUUUUUUUUUUUUUUUAAUAAAAAAUUUUUCUUUAUCAUCCCAUAAUGAUUAACCUAUUUGUGGUUCAAUCAUUUGGAGCUAUUUUCUAUACGUUGAUAGAAAGUAUUAGCUGCAAACUCUAAUCCAAGCCAUUUGCUUAACCAAAGACAUCAAAUGUCUAAUUUGAAGAUAUCAACUACAAGCCCAAUUCCCACUUAAAAGGCUUGACCAAAUUCACUUAUUUGCUCGGCCCAAUUUAUCUUCAAAUCACAUGAGUUUUGUUCCAAAGAGAAGAGAAGGCAGCCCCUAUGAUUAUGCUAUCUUUUUAAAACCACAACAGCUAUACACUUUAGACUUUAUCUACAGCUAUACCAGAACAUGCAUUAAAUGCAUUAUCUUUACUUUUCAAAACUGAUCGAUACUUUUGUUUUGACGAGCUGUCGCCUGCUGAAAACUACAAAAAAAUAGCUGGAGCUGCACUCUGUUCUCGUACACAUUGGUGGCUAGGGAAUCUCUUCUUCUUCCUUUUUUAUUUCUUUCUUUUCUACUGGUUUUGCUUCUGCUUCUUCCUUUUUCUCCUCUAUAAAUAGAGUAAACCCUCCCUAUGUAUUGCAUCUCAAAACAAACGCAGCUUCCUCUUUCUCGGCUGCCUACAGUAGCCUGUUCUAGGAGUUUUCAUUUGAUAGCUGUAGUAUCUUUUGAUAGCUAUAGCUAUAGUUCUCAAAACAAAGCUCGGCUUGCUUCUAGUUCUCGCGGAGUGCCGACGGAGGGUUGAAGGUGGUCGGAGGACAAGAACUUGGCUUGUUGUCGUUUUCGUAAGGCGCCGGCGAAAGGAGAGAUCGGGCUUUGACACUAGAGGCGUCGAAGGCGAGAGUUAGAGGCAAUCGGAGGUGCCGCAAGGAGUUCGGCAACUUAAGUAGCGAAGGGAUCUUCAAUCAGAGUAAGCAUGUUUGCGACAUUCCUUUUAUUGCUUUUGAAUCAUAUAUGACAUGCUCUGAAGUUUAUUUGUUGUCUCAUUUCCUUCGCCAACCUAGCUGCUGUCGAGAGAAAGCAGAGGCCGGAGCUUGUUUUGUUACGGUGUUUGGUGGUGAAACAAACGUGAGUUUCGGGACGGCGAAGGAGCCAUAUCGGCAACGACGAGGCUGUGCUCCGUCGAGGUACACUUCUCUGCAGUCUCACCUUCAGUUUUGCACAGUCGUUGGCUUCUUUUAGCGGGUGCGGCAGCUACUGGAACGGGCUUGAAGCGCGGUGGCGGUAUUUGGCUUCGGCUUUGCAGCAGUCUCCAGCUUCUUCUCGGCGGGCAUAGCAGUUGCUGGCGAAGGGAUUGGAAUUGUCGGGGUCGGGCUUGGACGCGGUGACGUUAUUGUCUAAGGCGGAACAAGUGUUCACGAGCAACGCCUUCAAUUCAGAGGCGGCUGAUUUCGUCGAGCUUCAUUUCGCAUUGAAGCAGAAGUUCCGGCAGCCGACAGUAGUAUUUGUGAGAGAGGGAUGGAACAGAUGACCGUGACCGGAGGGAGAAGGCGGCCUCGUCCAUGGCGGUUCUCGCCAAUUUUGAAACAACGGCGGCGGCGGGAGUGGCUCUUUCGGUGGGGCUGAGUUGGAAGGCAGCGGAACGAGAGUUUUAAAGCGAGGGUAUCGGUCUACGCCGGGACGAAGGACACAUCGCCGCCGGACUUCGGAAGAGGCACGUCAGAUCUUUGGAGGAAGGAGGAUGGCUGCUUUUGAUUUGGCUUUAUAGCAGUCUCCGGCUUCUUAUUAGCUGGCGUAGCAGCAGUCGGAACCGGCUUGGGGGACAGAGGGAACGGAGUUGAGAGGCGAUCCGCCGGACUUGUGGAGAAGAUGGCGGAAACCAAGUGAAGAGGAGAGAGAGAUGGAGGCUGAUGGGCCUUUAUUUAGGUACACUUUAGCCACUACUUAAGCCCAAAUUCUUUGUUUGGCCCAUUUUCCUUAUAAUUAGGUCCAACAUCAGUCAGGCCCAAUUUUCUCUUUUUUUUUUUUUUUUUUUUUUAAUGUCAAGUAAAUUCCCAAGUUUUGAAUAUUGCUUGUGUUUUCCUUGCAGUUAAUAGCGAUGAGAGUUUGGCGAUGACAAUCUUGGGGGGUCAUGUUCAAGACUGGCGUAGUCUCAUUAACCAACUUCAUGGCGGAUUUUUCCCCAAACGAGAUGCUUUGAGUAUUUGCAAAGUUCGGAGUCUAUUGUCAUUAUUUCUUCCAGUCUUGACAUCUCCAUCAGCCCGACUAAAGACUAUCCUCAGAGAGUUCAUCCAAAAAAAAAUUGGCAGCAGCCCAUCUAAGAUCUUAUUUGAGUGAUGUUUACUUUGCACUUCAGGUGGCUCAAUUGGCUUUUAAUCAGAUUUCGGGUGCGCUCGGAUCUGGGCCAUUGUGAGUCCAACCUUUGAAGAUUGCUGGUUACAUCUUCUCUUUGCGUGCAUUUGAGCAGGCUAGAUGACUCAAUGGUGUUCUAUUAUGUCUGGUGAACAUGUGUUUCAACUCCACGAGCGGAUUCAAACGAGAUGCUUUGAGUAUUUGCAAAGUUCGGAGUAUUAUGUACAAGAUUGGCGAAUUAACCAACUUCAUGGAAGAUUUUGCCCCAAACGAGAUGCUUUGAGUAUUUGCAAAGUUCGGAGUCUAUUGUCAUUAUUUCUUUCAGUCUUGACAUCUCCAUCAGCCCGACUAAAGACUAUCCUCAGAGAGUUCAUCCAAAAAAAAUUGGCAGCAGCCCAUCUAAGAUCUUAUUUGAGUGAUGUUUACUUUGCACUUCAGGUGGCUCAAUUGGCUUUUAAUCAGAUUUCGGGUGCGCUCGGAUCUGGGCCAUUGUGAGUCCAACCUUUGAAGAUUGCUGGUUACAUCUUCUCUUUGCGUGCAUUUGAGCAGGCUAGAUGACUCAAUGGUGUUCUAUUAUGUCUGGUGAACAUGUGUUUCAACUCCACGAGCGGAUUCAACUUUAGCUUGGAGAGAAGUGAAGUUGUUGAUGCAUAGCCGACCUCAAUGGCAGAUGACUCAAUUCUUUGACAG
Molecule: long non-coding RNA, 5261 nt
Filed under: Salvia miltiorrhiza (redroot sage)
Lineage: Eukaryota; Viridiplantae; Streptophyta; Magnoliopsida; Lamiales; Lamiaceae
Description: long non-coding RNA (SMIL_LNC010381)
Source: RNAcentral